This 497-nucleotide ribosomal RNA is filed under the name uncultured bacterium. Its description in RNAcentral is "partial 16S ribosomal RNA". It matches the Rfam family "Bacterial small subunit ribosomal RNA", at positions 28 to 507 of the family's 1533-position model. The record is from RNAcentral.
GAUGAACGCUGGCGGCGUGCCUAAUACAUGCAAGUCGAGCGAACGGACGAGAAGCUUGCUUCUCUGAUGUUAGCGGCGGACGGGUGAGUAACACGUGGAUAACCUACCUAUAAGACUGGGAUAACUUCGGGAAACCGGAGCUAAUACCGGAUAAUAUUUUGAACCGCAUGGUUCAAAAGUGAAAGACGGUCUUGCUGUCACUUAUAGAUGGAUCCGCGCUGCAUUAGCUAGUUGGUAAGGUAACGGCUUACCAAGGCAACGAUGCAUAGCCGACCUGAGAGGGUGAUCGGCGACACUGGAACUGAGACACGGUCCAGACGCCUACGGGAGGCAGCAGUAGGGAAUCUUCCGCAAUGGGCGAAAGCCUGACGGAGCAACGCCGCGUGAGUGAUGAAGGUCUUCGGAUCGUAAAACUCUGUUAUUAGGGAAGAACAUAUGUGUAAGUAACUGUGCACAUCUUGACGGUACCUAAUCAGAAAGCCACGGCUAACUACGUG